Molecule: ribosomal RNA, 292 nt
Filed under: uncultured bacterium
Lineage: Bacteria
Description: partial 16S ribosomal RNA
Source: RNAcentral
GGACUACACGGGUAUCUAAUCCUGUUCGCUCCCCACGCUCUCGCUCCUCAGCGUCAGUAAUGGCCCAGAGACCCGCCUUCGCCACCGGUGUUCCUCCUGAUAUCUGCGCAUUCCACCGCUACACCAGGAAUUCCAGUCUCCCCUGCCACACUCCAGCCGGCCCGUACCGGAAGCAGACCCGGGGUUGAGACCCGGGCUUUCACUUCCGACGCGACCAGCCGCCUACGAGCCCUUUACGCCCAAUAAAUCCGGACAACGCUCGCACCCUACGUAUUACCGCGGCGGCUGGCAC